AAGUCGAGGGGCAGCAUGAACUUAGCUUGCUAAGUUUGAUGGCGACCGGCGCACGGGUGAGUAACACGUAUCCAACCUGCCGAUGACUCGGGGAUAGCCUUUCGAAAGAAAGAUUAAUACCCGAUAGCAUAAGAUUUCCGCAUGGUUUUCUUAUUAAAGAUUCAUCGGUAACCGAUGGGGAUGCGUUCCAUUAGAUAGUAGGCGGGGUAACGGCCCACCUAGUCGACGAUGGAUAGGGGUUCUGAGAGGAAGGUCCCCACAUUGGAACUGAGACACGGUCCAAACUCC
This 288-nucleotide ribosomal RNA is filed under the name uncultured Bacteroides sp. RNAcentral's name for it is "partial 16S ribosomal RNA". It matches the Rfam family "Bacterial small subunit ribosomal RNA", at positions 59 to 339 of the family's 1533-position model. Lineage: Bacteria; Pseudomonadati; Bacteroidota; Bacteroidia; Bacteroidales; Bacteroidaceae. The record is from RNAcentral.